Molecule: long non-coding RNA, 223 nt
Organism: Mytilus trossulus (common blue mussel)
Lineage: Eukaryota; Metazoa; Mollusca; Bivalvia; Mytilida; Mytilidae
Exons: 3
Source: RefSeq, a predicted model, not a curated record
AAUGAAGAAAGGUUUUGUGGACUCCGGUGUCGUAGUGCAGGGCAUGCAUGUGACACAGGAUAAAAAUAGCUCACAUGUAUAUCAUACUGUUACUUAUAUACUACCAAAGAAAACAGGGAAUCAUAAAGUUUGUGUACAAAAUGUGAAUGCUGCUGGUCAAACAGCUGAUGAAUUGUGUUAUUCAAUAGAAGUUACAGCGGAAUUACCUAAACCUGUUUCUAUU